GCCCGUGUGGCUCAGUGGUUGAGCGUCGACCCCUGAUGACCCAGGAGGUCCCGGGUUCGAUUCCCGGUCAAGGGCA
This 76-nucleotide transfer RNA is filed under the name Myotis davidii. It matches the Rfam family "tRNA". From Rfam's summary of the family: Transfer RNA (tRNA) molecules are approximately 80 nucleotides in length. Their secondary structure includes four short double-helical elements and three loops (D, anti-codon, and T loops). The record is from Rfam by way of RNAcentral. Lineage: Eukaryota; Metazoa; Chordata; Mammalia; Chiroptera; Vespertilionidae.